This is a long non-coding RNA of Lycium barbarum (goji berry), 1591 nucleotides long. RefSeq lists it as uncharacterized. The record is from RefSeq and is a predicted model, not a curated record. The transcript is spliced from 3 exons. Lineage: Eukaryota; Viridiplantae; Streptophyta; Magnoliopsida; Solanales; Solanaceae.
GGAAACAUAGAGGAAGGUCAAGGGCGAAAUGGAAAAUUUUAAAAAUUAGUUUCAAGAAUUUUAAAAUAAGACCCGCAACAAUUUGGGCCUAAAUGAAAUGAAAAAAAAAAAAGGGGAAAUUGAGGCCCAAAUAUUUGUGUUGGCCGGCCAUGCCCCUCAAAAAGGGCCCAAGCCCAAGUCAACCAAGACCAAAUAAAUAAAGGGCCAUCCAUCAUUUUCCAUUAGGAAGCUUCAAGAAAACAAAGCAAAGAAAAAAAAAAAAAAAAAGAGAAGCCAAGGGUUCGGCCAUACAGAAAGAGAAAGGAAAAAAAAAAUUUGGAGCUCACAUCUUUAGUUCAAAAAUUCAUCUCUUGUGCAAUUACUACUAAGCUCAAAGCCCUCUUUAAUGUGAUACAACUUUGGGAGCAAGAGUACUUUUUUUUAUCAAGUGGGAGAAUUUGGCAAAAAGAUAUUGGAGAGCCCGAGACCUGAGUCGGGAUUGGUUGGCAAGCGAUCGAGAUUUGGUAGUGAGCGAUUGAGGUACGGACGUUCAUUUUGGUGAUCCCCCAGUAUAGGAUACAUACUCUGCCACUUGGAUUACUCCUUUUGAUUCGGAGCUCAUACUUUUGGUACAUAUCUUCUGCUAUACAUAUUCUGUAUAUAUAUAUAUGACUAUUUGGGUACGGCGGGGCCCUGUCCCGUCAUAUGUUUCUGUUAUGUUUUGUAGAGGCCUGUAGUCAUGUAUGUGGGUCAUGGGCCGUGUUUGUUCGUUUGUGAUUAUGAUUUCGUCUUAAUGCGGCCCUGAUUACUAUUAUGGCCAAAACGGCUCAUUUGUCUGUAUAUGUGCGUAUAUCUGGCGAUGUGUAUUCCGCCAAUAUAUUGGAUUUGGAUAUGAUGUUUCUGUACGGGCGACCGCUUAAGAUGACAUUUGUUUGCAGUAUUUGCUUAAAAUAACGUAUGUUAAGUUCGAAUGAAUUUUGAUAUGUCAAUCUGGUACGUAAGUUUAUUUGGGUGUCCAAAUAGGGCACCAGUCGCGGCCCACGAGGCUGGGUCGUGACAGAUACACCCAUACCGGGUGAAAUAUCCUUAAGGACAGUGCCAUUGGCAUGCCUCAAGCUACGAAGAAUGCUCUACAAGUGUUCGUGAUCAAAUAUUUUCCUCAAGCUUAGAAGAAGUUCCUACAAGUGUUCGUGAUCAAGUAUUUUCCUCAAGCCUAGAAGAAGUUCCUACAAGUGUUCGUGAUGAAGAGAAGUCCCUACAAGUGUUCGUGAUGAGGAAAAGUCCCUACACAUGUUAGCGAUGAAGUAUUUUUCGUAAGAUUUCCAAUAAUCUUAAGGAUAUUUUCACUCUCUAUUCUUACGAAAAAAUUGAAAGAGUUAACUUAGUACAAUCUGUCUAAGUUUCAGGUACGCGUUUGCUAAAAAUUUGAAUGUUAAACGUACUUUAUAAGAGGUAGAUGGAUUUAAGGCGAUACAUAUAAUCUCCUUGCUAUUUUAGAAGUAUUUAUGAAUGCAUAUUAUUUGCUAGUACAGACUUGUAGAUUGUUAAUGUGUAUGUGCAUCUAGUAUGGUGAAAGACAUUGCGCUUUAACUUCUCGAUUGUUGGUUUUGUG